AUUGAACGCUGGCGGCAGGCUUAACACAUGCAAGUCGAGCGAGGUGAUGGUGCUUGCACUAUCACUUAGCGGCGGACGGGUGAGUAAUGCUUAGGAAUCUGCCUAUUAGUGGGGGACAACAUCUCGAAAGGGAUGCUAAUACCGCAUACGUCCUACGGGAGAAAGCAGGGGAUCACUUGUGACCUUGCGCUAAUAGAUGAGCCUAAGUCGGAUUAGCUAGUUGGUGUGGUAACGGCUCACCAAGGCGACGAUCUGUAGCGGGUCUGAGAGGAUGAUCCGCCACACUGGGACUGAGACACGGCCCAGACUCCUACGGGAGGCAGCAGUGGGGAAUAUUGGACAAUGGGGGGAACCCUGAUCCAGCCAUGCCGCGUGUGUGAAGAAGGCCUUAUGGUUGUAAAGCACUUUAAGCGAGGAGGAGGCUCUUUUGGUUAAUACCCAAGAUGAGUGGACGUUACUCGCAGAAUAAGCACCGGCUAACUCUGUGCCAGCAGCCGCAGUAA
Molecule: ribosomal RNA, 503 nt
Filed under: uncultured bacterium
Lineage: Bacteria
Description: partial 16S ribosomal RNA
Rfam family: Bacterial small subunit ribosomal RNA
Source: RNAcentral